RNAcentral lists this ribosomal RNA (497 nucleotides) under uncultured bacterium. Its description in RNAcentral is "partial 16S ribosomal RNA". It matches the Rfam family "Bacterial small subunit ribosomal RNA", at positions 28 to 507 of the family's 1533-position model. The record is from RNAcentral.
GAUGAACGCUGGCGGCGUGCCUAAUACAUGCAAGUCGAGCGAACGGACGAGAAGCUUGCCUCUCUGAUGUUAGCGGCGGACGGGUGAGUAACACGUGGAUAACCUACCUAUAAGACUGGGAUAACUUCGGGAAACCGGAGCUAAUACCGGAUAAUAUUUUGAACCGCAUGGUUCAAAAGUGAAAGACGGUCUUGCUGUCACUUAUAGAUGGAUCCGCGCUGCAUUAGCUAGUUGGUAAGGUAACGGCUUACCAAGGCAACGAUGCGUAGCCGACCUGAGAGGGUGAUCGGCCACACUGGAACUGAGACACGGUCCAGACUCCUACGGGAGGCAGCAGUAGGGAAUCUUCCGCAAUGGGCGAAAGCCUGACGGAGCAACGCCGCGUGAGUGAUGAAGGUCUUCGGAUCGUAAAACUCUGUUAUUAGGGAAGAACAUAUGUGUAAGUAACUGUGCACAUCUUGACGGUACCUAAUCAGAAAGCCACGGCUAACUACGUG